CCUACGGGAGGCAGCAGUGAGGAAUAUUGGUCAAUGGACGAGAGUCUGAACCAGCCAAGUCGCGUGAAGGAUGACUGCCCUAUGGGUUGUAAACUUCUUUUAUAUGGGAGUAAAAUGUUCCACGUGUGUGAUUUUGUAUGUACCCUAUGAAUAAGGAUCGGCUAACUCCGUGCCAGCAGCCGCGGUAAUACGGAGGAUCCGAGCGUUAUCCGGAUUUAUUGGGUUUAAAGGGUGCGUAGGCGGAUGGUUAAGUCAGUUGUGAAAGUCUGCGGCUCAACCGUGAAAUUGCAGUUGAAACUGGCAGGCUUGAGUACAGUAGAGGUAGGCGGAAUGUGUGGUGUAGCGGUGAAAUGCUUAGAGAUCACGAAGAACUCCGAUUGCGAAGGCAGCUCACUGGACUGCAACUGACACUGAGGCACGAAAGUGUGGGUAUCAAACAGGAUUAGAUACCCUGGUAGUC
This 460-nucleotide ribosomal RNA is filed under the name uncultured bacterium. Its description in RNAcentral is "partial 16S ribosomal RNA". It matches the Rfam family "Bacterial small subunit ribosomal RNA", at positions 338 to 795 of the family's 1533-position model. The record is from RNAcentral.